AAUGCCCUGACUUCAUCUGCAGACAGAAUGCUAUCCAAAAAAAGAUAAACAGACGCGGGAUAGUCAACUACUAAGCUCUGCCAAGACAAGACCUGUGAGAACACAUUUUUGCAUGAGUGCAGUUCCAUGUGGAGGCCCAAAAGGACAAGUAUCUUCAGAACAACAAGAAUACUAAACAAACAGACAAACAAACAAACAAACCCCUACGAAAUCACAAUUGCUACAUAACCUUAUUGUAAAACCAGGAGAAAGGCCAAUGUAUUUACUUAUAUACUAGGAGCAGCCUGAAGGAAGAAAGAGUAAGUGAAACCAAGUUUUCAAAGUUGUAAGCACUCCCUUUUGAGGGUGAGAAUUACUCAACAAGUGACAGCGUACCUUGGUACUCAGAGAUACAGCUAUAUAAACACAAAGAGUAGCAGCUACCUGACAAGUGCUGACAAGUGACAACAGUUUUCUCUGAGGAGCAGGAACACACCAGGAGUAGGGUAAGGGAGCAAGUUUUCAGAAGCAGCCUUUAGAACUAUUUGACUCUCCAAACAUCUUUCAUGAGGAUCUCAAGCAAUAAAGUCUUCCUUUAAAGUCCCAAUAAGCAAAUAUUAUGCUCUUUCAUAUUCCCAAACUUAUUAACCAGAGAAUGAGGAAACAAGGGGCUUCCCAACAUUUCAUGUACAAAGACACAGAACUUACUGCAAACCCUAGCUCCUCCAAAAUGAGGUUGCAGAGAAGAUAUAGCAACUGUAUUGCUUACUAAAUUCGAAUGGGACAUUUCUCCCUCAAAGGAAUGGUUUUCGAGAAUAUAUUUAUUCUAUUAUUCCCUAACGAGGAAGUGUGUACCUUUAAUCCUGGUGCAGGAUAGAAGCCUUCAACUAACUUGCUGUUAUCAAAAAGACUAUAGGCACCGUCCCGUAUUGCCACGACGCCUCGACUACGGCAGUAUAUGUCAAUGCAGUACAUGUUCCUGAAGGCCAGUCUGAUGUGGGUGGAUGAUUGUGGUAAAAUGGAGAAACACUGGUAGGCGGUGUUAGUUCUCUGGGUCAAGCCCAACAUUGGAACAGUAGGGAGUUUGUUGAUAGCAUUUAAUGGUGCCUGAGUAUCAAACAAAACCUGGAAGAAACAGAGAUAUCACCCAGUUGUCAUGUAACUGCAGAAAACUUACAAUUUUCUGUCUCAUUGUCACAAAUGAACAUUCUGGGACAUUCUAGAAAAGUUUCUUUUGAAGUGCACUAGAUCAUUUUAAUUAAGUUCUCCAGGCAGAGUUUAAACCAUGUAAGACAAAAACAUCCAUCUUCGUCAUUAAAAGAGAAAUGCAGAUAAUUUUAGGUGUUUUGCAUAGCAUACUACUAGUACAUCUUAAGACAGAGAACUUAAUUACCUGUAAUAACUGAACCACAUUUGGUGUUUUGUUGAACAUUUCUUGAAGUUGAUGGAGAAUGGUAUUGUGACAGUUACUGCAACCUGAGUUUGGGCCAACUGUUCCCAACGCAAUGUGAAAUUUCUGAUGAAUGGAGUUCCACUGAAUACUAAUCUAGAGCAAAGAGAGCACAUGUGAAACAAACUGCAAAGUAACAGAUUCCAGGUGCAAACCAUGAUAAAGAUAAGUCAGCAAGCAUCAAAGGAGGGCUUCUUGUAAAAAUGAGUAAUGUGCUAAGAUUUGCUCCCAAUCUCCAAAUAUGAUAUUUAUAUAGAUCAACAGAGCCUAUGAGCAUACAUAUCAUCUCCCUUUUAUUAUAUAAACUAGAAAUAUAAAUCUUUUAAAUAGAAAAUGCAACUCUUGAGAUUUAAAGAUUUAUUUCAAUGCAGAGUCAUAUUCUCAAUGCCAUCAACUAAGGUAGCAAGCACUGUUAUAAUAAAAAGGGAAAAUCCUCAAACACAUGUUCAUUCAAUUACUAAUAAUUUCAGACAUUACUAGUUAUAGAAGUGUCUAGAGAGAAACGAAUACAAGUGUUGUACAAGUCUCUAUGUGUACCAUGUCCAUGGCUGGUGUCCGAGAAACCCUGGGACUGGAGUUACAGAUGGUUGCUGGAUCCUCUAUGAGACCAGUACAGCCUCUCAAUCACUGAGUCCUCUCUUUAGUUCCCAACUCAUUUUUAAGGAAAAGAAGUAUAGAUUACAGGGAAUAUACUUAGGAUUAAGAUACGAAUAAAGACUGAAUAUUUUCGUAUAACUCAAACCAAAGACAAACUGUAUUUCUCAAAGCCAUUCAUAUAAAGUUAAACAUGAAUCCCAAUUGAAGUCUGUGAAGGAAAAAAUGUCAAGAGUGCUUGUUUUAAAAUCAAGAUCAUAUGCUCUAAAGACACUAUAAUUUAUUUUUCAGUUUUAAAGAAUUAAGCAUAUAUCACACUUUUAUUUCAGCAGAGCAUUUAAAAUUGAUGUUCCUCGAGCCUUUAUUUAAGGCAGUUUUCUUUCCUUUGUUUCUUUUCCAAGCUGCAGUGUCUGGCAACUAUCAUUUAAGUUCUUAAUUUUUAAAAGAUAAAUAAGAAAGGAACCUCCAUUUUUCAAUAUUUAUUUUUAUUUUAUUUCAUGUGCAUUGAUAUUUUGCCUGCAUGGAUGAGGGAGUCAGAUCUUGGAACACAAACUGCUGUGAGCUGCUAUAUGGGGGCUGGCUGGGAACUGAAUCCAGGUUUUCUGAAAUACUGACAGUGCACAUAAGCACUAAGCCAUUUAUUUCUCCAGGCCACAGAACAACCAUGUUUUAAUUCAUAUACUUACUGAGCUUCCUUUGGUGGUUCCAUAACAUAAGAUAAGCUUUCGAUAAUUAUAAACACGAACUUCUGAGAAAAUAUUCAGAUGAGCAGGUAUUUCUAAGCAGAAACAAACAAAAUGCAUAUUGAUCGGACACGGACAUGUUUAAGAAGCAGGUAUGAAAAGUAGAGCAUUUUGGCAAAUCAUAUGCCUAGUUUGGUUGUGAUACGGUCUCCUUGAACCCCACAUUGUCCCUCAGAGUCUCUGUGUACUAAGGGUGAUGGAUAUACGCCUCGAUCUUGCUGCUUUUCCCUACCAAGUGUCAUGAUUGCAGGCCCACAUCACCAUGCCCGUUUGAUUGUUUGCCAAGGCAGUGGCAGAAUCAAAAGCAUGUAAAGCCAGCACAGAGAAGGUGAGCCAUGGAAAAGGUCUAGCACAGUGGCUAAUACAGCAAGGCACUUUCUCUGUCCUGGCCUUCUCUGCUCUCAGUUCAUGCCAAGAAAAGCUCUUACACAAAGUGAAGUUUUUAAGUCUCUGUGAAAUGUUUUUGUCAUCUGUAAAAUAGGGGAUAGCUAUUUCCUAAGUAGCUGUGCAAUUAAAUGUGCUAGUGUUGGGACACAAUCAAAGAAUGGAGCCGUAUGAGAAUUCUGAGUGUUAUGACCUCAGUGUCUUCAAAAACAGCAUCAUUCUUGGAAUGUGCUUUUGUGCCCAUCUGAGUUGACUUCAGAUUAUUCGUUCCAACUAUUGUUGUUUCUGUGCCUCUGUGGAAAACAUGUUUUGCCACAUGUGACUUCCAUUGUAAUUGUAUACUUUACUUAUAUGAUACUAUCUAACCCUUGUGGUAUACAUAAUAUGAUGCUCUGAAUAAAAUUGGCUAUUUAUUAUUUA
This is a long non-coding RNA of Mus musculus (house mouse), 3570 nucleotides long. RefSeq annotates it as predicted gene, 52422. NCBI's taxonomy places the organism in Eukaryota, Metazoa, Chordata, Mammalia, Rodentia, Muridae. The transcript has 2 exons. The record is from RefSeq and is a predicted model, not a curated record.